AUGAGACUGGCAUACAUGUUGACAGAGAAAAUACUCGAGAUGGGCAACUCCCAACGGAAUGUAUUAGGUUCCUGCGGUAAGCUGAUCGAUAUAAACCUAUAUAUGUACCAGAUGGAACCAUGCAAUGCACUUUUACCCAUUCAGAGCCCGAGAAAACUGGAUGUUCUAAAACUCAUCCCUAAUACUGAAGCAACAAUACUCAUCCCUAAUAUUGAAGUAACAAAACCAACUUUCCAUUGCACGAUACUCCAGUAUUAUACCGGUUCAAAUACUGAAGUCCUAGUAUUUGGUCUCCAAGCCAUAUAUCAUCCCAAAAUCUCACGUUAUGCCAUUACCUACAGAGAAAGAGCCUCUGCUAAAUAA
This 363-nucleotide ribosomal RNA is filed under the name Triticum aestivum (bread wheat). RNAcentral's name for it is "partial small subunit ribosomal RNA". Lineage: Eukaryota; Viridiplantae; Streptophyta; Magnoliopsida; Poales; Poaceae. The record is from RNAcentral.